CUCGUCAUUUUCUCUCUCCCCGAUUUUCUCUCCCUCUUCCCCCGCGUCGCCCUCUUUCCUUCUUUUUCCGAUUUCUUCACCGUCCGGCGUCCGAUUGACGUGAUUCCAGUUGUCCUUGGACCGUCUCUUCCUCCUCUACACGAUGGUACCAGUGGGUAUCGGCGAUUUGGCCGGCAAACCCCGAAUUUAUGCAAGCAUUGUUACUGUAGCAGUUUGCUUCUCCGGCGAAAUUCUCCAGUUUCCGGCUAUCUUCGGCGGUGAAAUUGGCUCUAUUAGGAGCGCCUCGGGUCACUGAUCAUCUUCCCUCAAGACUUCUAGUUGGAAUUUCCACGUUUGGAAGGUGAAUUUGAAGGAUUUCCAAAUUUGUGGGUUUGGAGAUUUCCGGGUUUGUGUUCAUCGGCAAAAUUGGAGCAUUUCAAGGGCGAUAUACCGAACUAUUGCUCGAUGAAGGAACUCGUAUGCGUGAUCGCCUAAAUAGUACUUUUGCAGGCCAGUUUAGCUUGAGGUCGAGCGUACUUGGGGUUGAGGCAUAGCUGUCAUAGCUUCCGCAUUAUAAAAGCAUCGGUCAUUUAUCUUGCUUUCUAUUCUCUUGUUCGCCUGUACAUUAGAUUGCUCUGAUAACCUAUGAGAUUAAUAUUCUUAAAUUCAGAAUUGUUUAUGAAAUGAGAUAUGUGAGAUGUUGUGAUAUAGGGAGCAGGGUGGCUCCAGGAGAAUAAGGAUGGAUGAUUUAGAAGUGUGGAUGUUUUUCUACAGGUUUUGGGUUGUCCAUUUUUAGGGGAAGUUCUGUCAAAUUUUUGGUAGAAUUUCUUCUAAAGUGGGCCCCGCAGGGCCUCUUCGGAUUUCACCCAUCCGGGGCGGGUCCUGUCAACACACACCAAUCCCAAGGAAAAUCUUUCAACUCAAGGAACUGAAACACACACCAUGAUUCCAUAAAAACCAACAUUAUUUUCCCAAAGAAACAACACAAACUUAGCGCACAAUUCAAAAAACGCACUUAUACGAAGAUCCAGUGGUCGGAUCUUCACCCGUGACCACACAAAGUCAUCGGGACAGUCCUACGAUCAUUAUAUCAAAACUACAAGUCUAUCGGACGGUCCGAUCUUCACAGAUCAUAAAUCGAACGAUCAAAAUCGAUCAAAACGUAAAAAUUCAUAACCUAAUCAUACGAUAUCCAAAAAUUACGUAUAAUAUAUCGAAAUGAUCGCCUUAACAUGUAGAACAUAUAAAUGGGCAGAAACUGUCCUUAAGGUUCCCGGAGGUGGCCGGAAAAGGCCGCCGGAGUUAGUGGCAGAGCCGCCGCCGACCACCGCCAAUGGUGUCGGGGACGGGCUGCUCCUCUUCAUCUUAUCAUGCUUAACAAAAAAAUCUAAAGGCAUGCUAUCAGAAAACAUCAAGAAGAGGUCGAAAAUUACCAAACUCAGUCACGGUGGCCGAAAUUUGUCCAGAAUCCGGCGAAAGCUCCGAUCAGCGUGAAAACGUCCCCUACUCGCUUCGAUCCCUUCUGGAGACUUGUUCAGAAACCCAAGGCGAGUUCAUCAAGCCAAGAAUCACAAAGAAAGAUUGCCGGAAACUCGAGAUAUCGGCGUUGACUCAAAAUCGAACUCAAAUCGGUUUCAAGCUCCUCCGCCGCAUAGCGGCCGUUUGGGGAGGAAGGAGACCACCAGUCCACUCUUUGGGAGGAGGCGAACUAAUCGGGGCUUUUUUUCACGUCAAAAGCUCGCCUGAGGAGGGAGAAAUCGCCCGGAGAAGUUGGAGGCGAUUUCCGGCCAAGAGAGGGAGAGAGACUCCGGUUUCCAAAAUUGGAAACUGAUUUUCUUUUUUUGGAAAUUUCCAAAAAUGGAAGCUUUAUACCAAAUUGGAAGGUUUUUCCGAAGCCCAUAAAGUUUUCAUACGAACUCCGAUUCUCGCCUUCCACAUGUCUACGAACUCGUAUCGACGCGUUCUACAACUUUCAUGAAGAAAGUUUUCCAAAAUUCCAAAAGUAUAAAAAGUCAACUCCUUUGACCCCCCUAAAACGUUCAGUUUUCGAUAAAAACUCGUCCAAACCACUUUCGCUCCAACCUCGAACCACAAAAUUGUAAUAAAUGAUACUUUAUUAAUUCUCGGAAUUUCAAGAAAUUUGUAACGAAUUUUUGGGGUAUUACAAAUAGCUUGUUGAUACUUUAUGUCAGGUGAAGUUAUGUUUAACCAUUUAAGGAACUGGAAUCAGUUAUCUUGCGUAUAUUUCUAAACUUAUAUAGUUUUAUAGUUGAGUCUAAAUGUGUGGAUCAACCGUAAGUUAUCUCAUGGUUUGGAGAAGCUACUUUAGUUCACAGAAUGUUUAGUGAAGUGUGCAUUUUGUAGAAUUGGUUUGGAUAAGCUAUGUAAGUUCACUGAGAGUUAUGGUCUUUAUUAUUUGUCAAAAGUCUGGAGUUGAUAAUCUUUUUUUUUUUUUUUUUAGUGCAUGUGACAAAACAUUUUUAAUGUGGAGUUGUGGAGGUUUAUCAGCUUUGUAUUAAUAUAUACCCUAUUGGUUCUAAUUACUGCCAUGAUAAUGCAUCAGGAGUUAGCUGUAGAUUUUUUACUUGUUAAUUGUAUCUUUAAGUUGACAUAUGUUGGCAGUCCAGAACCAUAAGGGAUGAAGGGAACUCUAGCUUUGUCCCUUGUGAUUCUUUAGAUCCUAUGAAUGAAUUUGUUUCUACUUUGUUUAAUAGACAUGUACUUUAGUAAGUGAAUUUGAAAUUCACUCGCAUCUUUUCACAUUGCAAAGUUGAAUUUUUUUUCAAAAAAGAAAAAAGUAAAAUUGAACAGUCAUUCUGUUGACGUCUGUGUUGAUGGAGGAUGUAUGGCUCGGCUCUGUGCAUCGUGACAAAAUUUAGUAUAAUAUAUUUCUUCUC
Molecule: RNA transcript, 2876 nt
Organism: Rosa rugosa (rugosa rose)
Lineage: Eukaryota; Viridiplantae; Streptophyta; Magnoliopsida; Rosales; Rosaceae
Gene name: zinc finger CCCH domain-containing protein 5-like
Exons: 3
Source: RefSeq, a predicted model, not a curated record